UACGUAGGGUGCGAGCGUUAAUCGGAAUUACUGGGCGUAAAGCGUGCGCAGGCGGCUUUGCAAGACAGAUGUGAAAUCCCCGGGCUCAACCUGGGAACUGCAUUUGUGACUGCAAGGCUAGAGUACGGCAGAGGGGGAUGGAAUUCCGCGUGUAGCAGUGAAGUGCGUAGAUAUGCGGAGGAACACCAAUGGCGAAGGCAAUCCCCGGGGCCUG
RNAcentral lists this ribosomal RNA (214 nucleotides) under uncultured bacterium. RNAcentral's name for it is "partial 16S ribosomal RNA". It matches the Rfam family "Bacterial small subunit ribosomal RNA", at positions 524 to 737 of the family's 1533-position model. The record is from RNAcentral.